RNAcentral lists this ribosomal RNA (497 nucleotides) under uncultured bacterium. RNAcentral describes it as "partial 16S ribosomal RNA". It matches the Rfam family "Bacterial small subunit ribosomal RNA", at positions 28 to 507 of the family's 1533-position model. The record is from RNAcentral.
GACGAACGCUGGCGGCGUGCCUAAUACAUGCAAGUUGAGCGCUGAAGGUUGGUACUUGUACCAACUGGAUGAGCAGCGAACGGGUGAGUAACGCGUGGGGAAUCUGCCUUUGAGCGGGGGACAACAUUUGGAAACGAAUGCUAACACCGCAUAAAAACUUUAAACACAAGUUUUAAGUUUGAAAGAUGCAAUUGCAUCACUCAAAGAUGAUCCCGCGUUGUAUUAGCUAGUUGGUGAGGUAAAGGCUCACCAAGGCGAUGAUACAUAGCCGACCUGAGAGGGUGAUCGGCCACAUUGGGACUGAGACACGGCCCAAACUCCUACGGGAGGCAGCAGUAGGGAAUCUUCGGCAAUGGACGAAAGUCUGACCGAGCAACGCCGCGGGAGUGAAGAAGGUCUUCGGAUCGUAAAACUCUGUUGGUAGAGAAGAACGUUGGUGAGAGUGGAAAGCUCAUCAAGUGACGGUAACUACCCAGAAAGGGACGGCUAACUACGUG